RNAcentral lists this ribosomal RNA (848 nucleotides) under Pseudomonas anguilliseptica. Its description in RNAcentral is "bacterial SSU rRNA". It matches the Rfam family "Bacterial small subunit ribosomal RNA", at positions 41 to 886 of the family's 1533-position model. Lineage: Bacteria; Pseudomonadati; Pseudomonadota; Gammaproteobacteria; Pseudomonadales; Pseudomonadaceae. The record is from RNAcentral.
GGUAUGGCGCUACCUGCAGUCGAGCGGUAGAGAGAAGCUUGCUUCUCUUGAGAGCGGCGGACGGGUGAGUAAUGCCUAGGAAUCUGCCUAGUGGUGGGGGAUAACGUUCGGAAACGGACGCUAAUACCGCAUACGUCCUACGGGAGAAAGCGGGGGAUCUUCGGACCUCGCGCCAUUAGAUGAGCCUAGGUCGGAUUAGCUAGUUGGUGAGGUAAUGGCUCACCAAGGCGACGAUCCGUAACUGGUCUGAGAGGAUGAUCAGUCACACUGGAACUGAGACACGGUCCAGACUCCUACGGGAGGCAGCAGUGGGGAAUAUUGGACAAUGGGCGAAAGCCUGAUCCAGCCAUGCCGCGUGUGUGAAGAAGGUCUUCGGAUUGUAAAGCACUUUAAGUUGGGAGGAAGGGUAGUAACCUAAUACGUUGCUACUUUGACGUUACCGACAGAAUAAGCACCGGCUAACUUCGUGCCAGCAGCCGCGGUAAUACGAAGGGUGCAAGCGUUAAUCGGAAUUACUGGGCGUAAAGCGCGCGUAGGUGGUUCAGUAAGUUGGAAGUGAAAUCCCCGGGCUCAACCUGGGAACUGCUUUCAAAACUGCUGAGCUAGAGUACGGUAGAGGGUGGUGGAAUUUCCUGUGUAGCGGUGAAAUGCGUAGAUAUAGGAAGGAACACCAGUGGCGAAGGCGACCACCUGGACUGAUACUGACACUGAGGUGCGAAAGCGUGGGGAGCAAACAGGAUUAGAUACCCUGGUAGUCCACGCCGUAUACGAUGUCAACUAGCCGUUGGAAUCCUUGAGAUUUCAGUGGCGCAGCUAACGCAUUAAGUUGACCCCCCUGGGAGGGCGGC